Molecule: ribosomal RNA, 447 nt
Filed under: uncultured Moritella sp.
Lineage: Bacteria; Pseudomonadati; Pseudomonadota; Gammaproteobacteria; Alteromonadales; Moritellaceae
Description: bacterial SSU rRNA
Rfam family: Bacterial small subunit ribosomal RNA
Source: RNAcentral
AGAGUUUGAUCCUGGCUCAGAUUGAACGCUGGCGGUAGGCUUAACACAUGCAAGUCGAGCGGAAACGAAGAAUAGCUUGCUAUUCUGGCGUCGAGCGGCGGACGGGUGAGUAAUGCUUGGGAAUCUGCCUAGUCGAGGGGGACAACAGUUGGAAACGACUGCUAAUACCGCAUACGACCUACGGGUGAAAGGGGGCCUCUUCUUGAAAGCUCCCGCGACUAGAUGAGCCCAAGUGGGAUUAGCUUGUUGGUGAGGUAAGAGCUCACCAAGGCGACGAUCCCUAGCUGGUCUGAGAGGAUGAUCAGCCACACUGGAACUGAGACACGGUCCAGACUCCUACGGGAGGCAGCAGUGGGGAUAUUGCACAUGGGCGAAAGCUGAUGCACCCUGCCGCGUGUGUGAAGAAGGCUUCGGGUGGAAAGAAUUUCGUGGGAAGAAGGGUGACUU